This 1207-nucleotide long non-coding RNA is filed under the name Homo sapiens (human). RNAcentral's name for it is "long non-coding RNA NONHSAT180515.1". The record is from RNAcentral. Lineage: Eukaryota; Metazoa; Chordata; Mammalia; Primates; Hominidae.
GACGGAGGGUAGUGCGUCUAGAGACACAUAUUCCCCACGGAUUUGACGAUGGUGUUCGGUCUUGAAUGGAAAUGUAGUCUUAGGCCAGUCUUAGGUUUUUGAACAGGAUAGUAGGUAUCCGGAGUCGAUUGAGGGCCAGAGCAGGCACUGGGGUUCGGAUCCUGGGCAAAGUUUCCCACGUUGAGGGUCUCGAGGACGCCUAGAUCUCUUUCCCAGGGCCAUGGCGAACCCGAAGCUGCUGGGAAUGGGGCUAAGCGAGGCGGAGGCGAUCGGUGCUGAUUCGGCGCGAUUUGAGGAGCUGCUGCUGCAGGCCUCGAAGGAGCUCCAGCAAGCCCAGACAACCAGACCAGAAUCGACACAAAUCCAGCCUCAGCCUGGUUUCUGCAUAAAGACCAACUCCUCGGAAGGGAAGGUUUUCAUCAACAUCUGCCACUCCCCCUCUAUCCCUCCUCCCGCCGACGUGACCGAGGAGGAGCUGCUUCAGAUGCUAGAGGAGGACCAAGCUGGGUUUCGCAUCCCCAUGAGUCUGGGAGAGCCUCAUGCAGAACUGGAUGCAAAACAGCGAUUUCUUGCGGGAGCUCGUGAUCACCAUCGCCAGGGAGGGCCUUGAGGACAAAUACAACUUGCAGCUGAAUCCGGAAUGGCGCAUGAUGAAGAACCGGCCAUUCAUGGGCUCCAUCUCGCAGCAGAACAUCCGCUCGGAGCAGCGUCCUCGGAUCCAGGAGCUGGGGGACCUGUACACGCCCGCCCCCGGGAGAGCUGAGUCAGGGCCUGAAAAGCCUCACCUGAACCUGUGGCUGGAAGCCCCCGACCUCCUCUUGGCCGAAGUUGACCUCCCCAAACUGACCCUUCAAAUAUAGUUUCCCAGCGUGUGAGGCUACCAUGCCUGGUCCAGGUGAUCAUCCUGUUGCUGGGGAGGGUGACCUGAUUCCGCCACCUCUCCAGGAUGGAGCCCUGGGGCUGUCGCUGGAGAUCGGGGAGAACCGCCUGGUGAUGGGGGGCCCCCAGCAGCUGUAUCAUCUAGACGCUUAUAUCCCGCUGCAGAUCAACUCUCAUGAGAGCAAGGCAGCCUUCCACCGGAAGAGAAAGCAAUUAAUGGUGGCCAUGCCGCUUCUGCCGGUGCCUUCUUGAUCAGGGUGUCUCCUUGUGCUUCUGAGAUGUGGAGAAGAGGCUGCUGGCUUCCCUAAAAGUUGAAAUAAAAGAUUUU